Molecule: ribosomal RNA, 1708 nt
Filed under: Aclella troxalis
Lineage: Eukaryota; Metazoa; Arthropoda; Insecta; Orthoptera; Phalangopsidae
Description: partial 28S ribosomal RNA
Rfam family: Eukaryotic large subunit ribosomal RNA
Source: RNAcentral
CUUCGAGCGAACAGGGAGAGCCCGCACCGAUCCCGCGAUCCGAGUGCAGGGAAAUGUGGUGUUAGGGAGGUCGCCCGAACCUUCCGCGAGCGCGGCGCGCUCCAAGUCCUCUGAAAGGGGCCACGGCCCGCAGAGGGUGCCAGGCCCGUAGGGACGCKCCGUUCGCUGGSGGGAAGGGCCCUCCGUAGAGUCGGGUUGCUUGAGAUCGCAACCCUAAGCAGGUGGUAAACUCCAUCUAAGGYUUCAAUAUUAYUUGMMMUACGAGACCGAUAGCGAACAAGUACCGUGAGGGAAAGUUGAAAGAACUUUGAAGAGAGAGUUCAAAGUACGUGAAACCGCUCAGGGGACAAACGAAGGUGCUGGAGCAAACGAGUCCGGGGAAACUCAAGCGUUGCAACCCUUUCGACCCGUCUGAAACACGGACCAAGGAGUCUAACRUGKGCGCGWGUCAUUGGGUUGUUAGACCUAAAGGCGCAAUGAAAGUGAAGGUUUUGCCYCSCGCMGACCUGCCACCGAGGGAAGAUGGAGCGSGCGUYAGCGCGGCUCCCGCAUUCCCGGGGCGUCUCGUUCUCRMURCGAGUUGAGGCGCACCCAGAGCGUACACGUUGGGACCCGAAAGAUGGUGAACUAUGCCUGGCCRGRASGAAGYCRGGGGRAACCCUGAUGGAGGUCCGUAGCGAUUCUGACGUGCAAAUCGAUCGUCSGAGCUGGGUAUASGGGCGAARRRCURAUCGMACYAUCUAGUAGCUGGUUCCCUCCGAAGUUUCCCUCAGGAUAGCUGGUGCUCUACCGAGUCUCAUCCGGUAAAGCGAAUGAUUAGAGGCCUUGGGGCCGAAACGACCUCAACCUAUUCUCAAACUUUAAAUGGGUGAGAUCUCCGGCUUGCUUAAAGCAAUGAAGCCGCGAGAGUUGGAUGGAUCGGAGUGCCAAGUGGGCCACUUUUGGUAAGCAGAACUGGCGCUGUGGGAUGAACCAAACGCCGAGUUAAGGCGCCCGAAUCGACGCUCAUGGGAAACCAUGAAAGGCGUUGGUUGCUUAAGACAGCAGGACGGUGGCCAUGGAAGUCGGAAUCCGCUAAGGAGUGUGUAACAACUCACCUGCCGAAGCAACUAGCCCUGAAAAUGGAUGGCGCUGAAGCGUCGUGCCUAUACUCGGCCGUCAGCACGGCAAUGAGGGGUGCGAGGCUCGUCACUUGUGGCGAGUCCGCCCCGUGAAGCCCUGACGAGUAGGAGGGUCGCGGCGGUGAGCGCAGARGGGUCUGGGCGUGAGCCUGCCUGGAGCCGCCGUCGGUGCAGAUCUUGGUGGUAGUAGCAAAUACUCCAGCGAGGCCCUKGAGRACUGACGUGGAGAAGGGUUUCGUGUGAACAGCCGUUGCACACGAGUCAGUCGAUCCUAAGCCCUAGGAGAAAUCCGAUGUCGAUGGGGACGGAUCACUAUUGUAAAAUAUGGUCCCCACUGGGCGAAAGGGAAUCCGGUUCCUAUUCCGGAACCCGGCAGCGGAACCGUCUGAAGUCGGGCCCCUCUUUAUGAGAAGCUCGUCGGGGUAACCCAACAGGACCCGGAGACGCCGUCGGGAGAUCGGGGAAGASUUUUCYUUYCUGUAUGAGCGUUCGAGUUCCCUGGAAUCCUCUAGCAGGGAGAUAGGGUWURGWRCGYSWMGAGCACCGCAGUUGCGGCGGUGUCCCGAUCUUCCCCUCGGACCUUGAAA